ACCAGCAGCUAAAUCACCCUGCAACUCACAGCUGGCAGCCCACUGCAGCUCAGCAGGAGUGACCCUGACCAGUACCUGGAUGGGAGACCUCCUGGGAAAACUAAGGUUGCUGCUGGAA
Molecule: ribosomal RNA, 118 nt
Filed under: Lepisosteus oculatus (spotted gar)
Lineage: Eukaryota; Metazoa; Chordata; Actinopteri; Semionotiformes; Lepisosteidae
Source: RNAcentral